GUGACUGCGUACCUUUUGUAUAAUGGGUCAGCGACUUAUAUUCUGUAGCAAGGUUAACCGAAUAGGGGAGCCGCAGGGAAACCGAGUCUUAAUUGGGCGUUAAGUUGCAGGGUAUAGACCCGAAACCCGGUGAUCUAGCCAUGGGCAGGUUGAAGGUUGGGUAACACUAACUGGAGGACCGAACCGACUAAUGUUGAAAAAUUAGCGGAUGACCUGUGGCUGGGGGUGAAAGGCCAAUCAAACCGGGAGAUAGCUGGUUCUCCCCGAAAGCUAUUUAGGUAGCGCCUCGUGAAUUCAUCUCCGGGGGUAGAGCACUGUUUCGGCUAGGGGGCCAUCCCGGCUUACCAACCCGAUGCAAACUGCGAAUACCGGAGAAUGUUAUCACGGGAGACACACGGCGGGUGCUAACGUCCGUCGUGAAGAGGGAAACAACCCAGACCGCCAGCUAAGGUCCCAAAGUCAUGGUUAAGUGGGAAACGAUGUGGGAAGGCCCAGACAGCCAGGAUGUUGGCUUAGAAGCAGCCAUCAUUUAAAGAAAGCGUAAUAGCUCACUGGUCGAGUCGGCCUGCGCGGAAGAUGUAACGGGGCUAAACCAUGCACCGAAGCUGCGGCAGCGACGCUGAUGCGUUGUUGGGUAGGGGAGCGUUCUGUAAGCCUGUGAAGGUGUGUCGUGAGGCAUGCUGGAGGUAUCAGAAGUGCGAAUGCUGACAUAAGUAACGAUAAAGCGGGUGAAAAGCCCGCUCGCCGGAAGACCAAGGGUUCCUGUCCAACGUUAAUCGGGGCAGGGUGAGUCGACCCCUAAGGCGAGGCCGAAAGGCGUAGUCGAUGGGAAACGGGUUAAUAUUCCCGUACUUGGUGUUACUGCGAAGGGGGGACGGAGAAGGCUAUGUUGGCCGGGCGACGGUUGUCCCGGUUUAAGCGUGUAGGUGUGUGUUCCAGGUAAAUCCGGUUCACUUUAACACUGAGGCGUGAUGACGAGGCACUACGGUGCUGAAGCAACAAAUGCCCUGCUUCCAGGAAAAGCCUCUAAGCAUCAGGUAACAUCAAAUCGUACCCCAAACCGACACAGGUGGUCAGGUAGAGAAUACCAAGGCGCUUGAGAGAACUCGGGUGAAGGAACUAGGCAAAAUGGUGCCGUAACUUCGGGAGAAGGCACGCUGACACGUAGGUGAAGUGAUUUACUCAUGGAGCUGAAGUCAGUCGAAGAUACCAGCUGGCUGCAACUGUUUAUUAAAAACACAGCACUGUGCAAACACGAAAGUGGACGUAUACGGUGUGACGCCUGCCCGGUGCCGGAAGGUUAAUUGAUGGGGUCAGCGCAAGCGAAGCUCCUGAUCGAAGCCCCGGUAAACGGCGGCCGUAACUAUAACGGUCCUAAGGUAGCGAAAUUCCUUGUCGGGUAAGUUCCGACCUGCACGAAUGGCGUAAUGAUGGCCAGGCUGUCUCCACCCGAGACUCAGUGAAAUUGAACUCGCUGUGAAGAUGCAGUGUACCCGCGGCAAGACGGAAAGACCCCGUGAACCUUUACUAUAGCUUGACACUGAACAUUGAGCCUUGAUGUGUAGGAUAGGUGGGAGGCUUUGAAGUGUGGACGCCAGUCUGCAUGGAGCCGACCUUGAAAUACCACCCUUUAAUGUUUGAUGUUCUAACGUGGACCCGUAAUCCGGGUUGCGGACAGUGUCUGGUGGGUAGUUUGACUGGGGCGGUCUCCUCCUAAAGAGUAACGGAGGAGCACGAAGGUUGGCUAAUCCUGGUCGGACAUCAGGAGGUUAGUGCAAUGGCAUAAGCCAGCUUGACUGCGAGCGUGACGGCGCGAGCAGGUGCGAAAGCAGGUCAUAGUGAUCCGGUGGUUCUGAAUGGAAGGGCCAUCGCUCAACGGAUAAAAGGUACUCCGGGGAUAACAGGCUGAUACCGCCCAAGAGUUCAUAUCGACGGCGGUGUUUGGCACCUCGAUGUCGGCUCAUCACAUCCUGGGGCUGAAGUAGGUCCCAAGGGUAUGGCUGUUCGCCAUUUAAAGUGGUACGCGAGCUGGGUUUAGAACGUCGUGAGACAGUUCGGUCCCUAUCUGCCGUGGGCGCUGGAGAACUGAGGGGGGCUGCUCCUAGUACGAGAGGACCGGAGUGGACGCAUCACUGGUGUUCGGGUUGUCAUGCCAAUGGCACUGCCCGGUAGCUAAAUGCGGAAGAGAUAAGUGCUGAAAGCAUCUAAGCACGAAACUUGCCCCGAGAUGAGUUCUCCCUGAGACUUAGAGUCUCCUGAAGGAACGUUGAAGACGACGACGUUGAUAGGCCGGGUGUGUAAGCGCAGCGAUGCGUUGAGCUAACCGGUACUAAUGAACCGUGAGGCUUAACCUUACAACGCCGAAG
Molecule: ribosomal RNA, 2366 nt
Filed under: Salmonella enterica subsp. enterica serovar Inverness
Lineage: Bacteria; Pseudomonadati; Pseudomonadota; Gammaproteobacteria; Enterobacterales; Enterobacteriaceae
Description: bacterial LSU rRNA
Rfam family: Bacterial large subunit ribosomal RNA
Source: RNAcentral